Gossypium hirsutum (cotton) is the source of this 146-nucleotide non-coding RNA. NCBI's taxonomy places the organism in Eukaryota, Viridiplantae, Streptophyta, Magnoliopsida, Malvales, Malvaceae. The record is from Rfam.
UGUUAAAAAUUUUCAUCUAUUCAUACAGUUAAAAACUAGCAUGGUGAAUAAAAUAACCAUACAUUGUCAUAUGGUGUGCCAUGUGUACCUUAUAUUAACAUGUAUGGACUCAUUUUUAAAAGUAGAAAUUAAUGAAAUUUUUAAAA